Molecule: ribosomal RNA, 403 nt
Filed under: uncultured bacterium
Lineage: Bacteria
Description: bacterial SSU rRNA
Rfam family: Bacterial small subunit ribosomal RNA
Source: RNAcentral
UAGGGAAUAUUGGUAAUCUGGGAAACCGGGAACCAGCAACGCCGCGUGCACGAUGAAGGCCUUCGGGUCGUAAAGUGCUUUUUGAAGGGAUGAGGAAGGACAGUACCUUCAGAAUAAGCCUCGGCUAACUACGUGCCAGCAGCCGCGGUAAAACGUAGGAGGCGAGCGUUAUCCGGAUUUACUGGGCGUAAAGCGUGUGUAGGCGGUUUGAUAAGUUGGAUGUGAAAGCUCCCGGCUCAACUGGGAGAGGUCGUUCAAAACUAUCAGACUAGAGAGUGGUAGAGGGAGGUGGAAUUCCGCGUGUAGUGGUGAAAUGCGUAGAUAUGCGGAGGAACACCAGUGGCGAAAGCGGCCUCCUGGCCCAUUUCUGACGCUCAGACACGAAAGCUAAGGUAGCAAACGG